Molecule: long non-coding RNA, 642 nt
Filed under: Vulpes vulpes (red fox)
Lineage: Eukaryota; Metazoa; Chordata; Mammalia; Carnivora; Canidae
Description: lncRNA (ENSVVUG00000003150.1)
Source: RNAcentral
GUAUUAUAAAUUUUUCAAGUGAUCAUUUUUGUUUUAGUUUCAGCAUUUAGAGAGGACUCCCUGCAAAGAAGAGAGCUCAUCCCUAGAUAUAAAACUGGAGUAGAAGAUCAGAGUUGACACAUGAGAAAGACUGAUGAUGGAAAAUAAGAAGAAAGUAAGCAAUUUUAAAGGAGUGGAUAUGAAGAAAUGCCUGGACAAAUCCUUAAAGUUUCAGAGCUCAGCAAAAGCUGUUAUUUUUAGGCUUUCCAUGAGGUUAAAGGACCCCAACCAAGAAACCUAAGAUUAGUAGAGGGAAAACAAUUUUUCCUCUUCUACAACAGUCUAUAGCUGCAGGGAGGUCAGCUAUAACGUAUAAGAACAGAAGAGUGAUAUAAAUCAUGUCAAGAAAAUGUAUAUGGUAUGUAGGAUUUAAUUCUCACCUAUUCUAUAUAUGAAAAGAAAUAACAAUUUUGAUAACCUAUUUUCCUACAUUUUAUCUAAUUUUUAUAAUCCUUAGUAUUCUUCUCUACAGAUUCCUGGAGGAACUUAUAUUAUCAAUUGGGAAAUAGAGGGAAGGGAUGCACUUUGAACAAAGAUCAGGGGCCUGGUCAUGGACACUUGGAACCUGCUUCAUUCCAAUUAGACCACUAACUGACAACCCAC